UGGAGAGUGGGAGAAAAGGUCUUGAUGAAGGAGCAAAACCUUGGCAUCAGCCGUGCACACGGCCCUGGGAUCUUUGCCAGCUCCCCACCACUGCUGCUGCAGGGUUUCUUGUUGACCCUAGGGGCUAGCCCCUUCCAUUAUAGAAUAACAACAGUUGUCAGAAAGCCAUUUCUCAUAUUUACCCAACAUUCACUUUUCUAUAGAUCCUAAAGGCCCUGGUAUUUUCUCAGGUGCAAUGCAGAUGAUUCUUCAUUCAUUCAUCCAUGUGCACCUCUUUGUCUGUUUGUUCCUUGUUCAAUAAAUAUUAUGUCAAUGCCUGCUGAUAUGGUUUGGCUGUGUCCCCACCCAAAUCUCAUUUUGAAAUGUAAUAAUCCCCAUGUGUCAAGGGUGGGGCCAGGUGGAGAUAAUUGAAUCAUGGGGGCAGUUUCCGCCCUACUCUUCUCAUGGGAGUGAAUAAGUCUCAUGAGAUCUGAUGGUUUUAUAAAUGGGAAUUCUCCUGCACAAGCUCUCUUGCCUGCUGCCAUGUAAGAUGUGUCUUGCUUUCCCCUUUGUCUUUCGUCAUGAAUGUGAACUGUGAGCCAAUUGCACCUCUUUCCUGCCCAGCGUGGUGGCUCAUACCUGUAAUCCCAGCACUUUGGGAGGCCGAGGUGGGUGAAUCACCUGAGGUCAGGAGUUCAAGUCCAGUCUGACCAACAUAGUGAAACCCCCUCUCUACUAAAAAUACAAAAUUAGCCAGGUAUGGUGACACAUGCCUGUAAUCCCAGCUACUUGGGAGGCUGGGGCAGGAGAAUUACUUGAACCCAGGUGGUGGAGGUUGUAGUGAGCCUAGAUCACGUCACUGCAUUCCAGCCUGGGCAACAAGAGCGAAACUCCAUCUCAAGAAGAAAAAAAAAAAACAGAAAAACAAACAGAAAAAGUCUUUCCUUUAUAAUAAUUACCCAGUCCCAGGUAUGUCUUUAUUAGCGGCAUGAGAACAGACUAAUACACCUACUGUGUGCUGGCUGAGGUUCUCAACGUUGUGCUGGGCACCAGGGAAUAUAAAACAGUAAGACUCAGUCUCUCCUCUUGAGGAGCUCAGAAUGGAUGUGGCCGGGGAAUGACAAAAUGCUAUGAUGUACAAAUGUGAACAAUUAGAAUUUGUACAAAGAAAGGAAGUUUGGAUUAAUGCUGUCAGAGUGCAAGAGCUUGGGGAUUCUUCAUGGAAAAGAUGAUGCCAGAGAAGAGCUUUGAAGAAGGAAAAGGGUGUUUUCUAGGCAAACUCAAGUGGAGUUGAAUUAGGAGAGAAGUGCGAAGACAUGACGGAUGGAUGGAAUGACACAGGCCAAAGAAUGGAGUUAGGAACGAUGUGCUGUGCUUGGGAGCUGCAAGUUCUGCUGACGGGUGGAGAGUAAGGCCAGGUGUGAGAGGAAACAAGCCAGAUGGGGGAGCGGGAUGGUCACAUAGGCUUUGAAUGCUGAGAUAGGAGGGUUUAUUGAG
Molecule: long non-coding RNA, 1476 nt
Filed under: Homo sapiens (human)
Lineage: Eukaryota; Metazoa; Chordata; Mammalia; Primates; Hominidae
Description: HSALNT0227254
Source: RNAcentral